UCAUCGAGUCUUUGAACGCAUAUUGCGGCUCCGGGUCACUCCCGGAGCCACGCCUGUCUGAGGGUCGGCGAACGUACUCGCAAGACUGCCUUGCUCCGGGCCUUCGUACGUCUUGCGCCUUGGCCAGUCGCACUGCUUUUCUGCAGACUGCGUCGGCCGAAGCGGAGAAUGUAAAGGGUUCGCCCGUCCUCGGGCGCCGUCGCCACCGUUCGAAUUGUCGCGGGUGUCCCUGCCCCCGGCGUCGACAGCGUGGAGACGCGGCUCGCUUAACUGCGAGACUUCGUGCUCCUGCCGUCGCUAGUCCGCGGGCGAGCUCCCGGGCCCGUUCGGAGGCGGUCCGUGCGCCAGCGAAUCCCUUGCGCUGGAAAGAAAACUGUCGUUUUCUCACACUCCGACCUCAGAUCAGACGAGACUACCCGCUGAAUUUAAGCAUAUUAAUAAGCGGAGGAAAAGAAACUAACA
RNAcentral lists this ribosomal RNA (462 nucleotides) under Cardita caliculaeformis. RNAcentral describes it as "eukaryotic LSU rRNA". The stretch from base 393 to 462 matches the Rfam family "Eukaryotic large subunit ribosomal RNA", at positions 1 to 70 of the family's 3401-position model. Lineage: Eukaryota; Metazoa; Mollusca; Bivalvia; Carditida; Carditidae. The record is from RNAcentral.